Molecule: transfer RNA, 73 nt
Filed under: Mus musculus (house mouse)
Lineage: Eukaryota; Metazoa; Chordata; Mammalia; Rodentia; Muridae
Also listed under: 1 other name
Rfam family: tRNA
About the family: Transfer RNA (tRNA) molecules are approximately 80 nucleotides in length. Their secondary structure includes four short double-helical elements and three loops (D, anti-codon, and T loops). Further hydrogen bonds mediate the characteristic L-shaped molecular structure. tRNAs have two regions of fundamental functional importance: the anti-codon, which is responsible for specific mRNA codon recognition, and the 3' end, to which the tRNAs corresponding amino acid is attached (by aminoacyl-tRNA synthetases). tRNAs cope with the degeneracy of the genetic code in two manners: having more than one tRNA (with a specific anti-codon) for a particular amino acid; and 'wobble' base-pairing, i.e. permitting non-standard base-pairing at the 3rd anti-codon position.
Source: Rfam by way of RNAcentral
GUAAGGAUGUCUCAGCGGUUAAGAGUCUUGGCUGCUCUUCCAUAGGACCUGGGUUCAAAUCCCAGUACCUACA